CAUAUCAAUAAGCGGAGGAAAAGAAACCAACAGGGAUUGCCUCAGUAGCGGCGAGUGAAGCGGCAAAAGCUCAAAUUUGAAAUCUGGCGUCUUUGGCGUCCGAGUUGUAAUUUGAAGAAGGUAUCUUUGGGCCCGGCUCUUGUCUAUGUUCCUUGGAACAGGACGUCACAGAGGGUGAGAAUCCCGUGCGAUGAGAUGACCCGGGUCUGUGUAAAGUUCCUUCGACGAGUCGAGUUGUUUGGGAAUGCAGCUCUAAGUGGGUGGUAAAUUCCAUCUAAAGCUAAAUAUUGGCGAGAGACCGAUAGCGAACAAGUACAGUGAUGGAAAGAUGAAAAGAACUUUGAAAAGAGAGUGAAAAAGUACGUGAAAUUGUUGAAAGGGAAGGGCUUGAGAUCAGACUUGGUAUUUUGCAUGCUGCUCUCUCGGGGGCGGCCGCUGCGGUUUACCGGGCCAGCAUCGGUUUGGAGCGGCAGGAUAAUGGCGGAGGAAUGUGGCACGGCUUYUGCUGUGUGUUAUAGCCUCUGACGAUACUGCCAGCCUAGACCGAGGACUGCGGUUUUUAACCUAGGAUGUUGGCAUAAUGAUCUUAAGUCGC
This 595-nucleotide ribosomal RNA is filed under the name Candida albicans. RNAcentral's name for it is "eukaryotic LSU rRNA". It matches the Rfam family "Eukaryotic large subunit ribosomal RNA", at positions 39 to 648 of the family's 3401-position model. The record is from RNAcentral. Lineage: Eukaryota; Fungi; Ascomycota; Pichiomycetes; Serinales; Debaryomycetaceae.